GGUUCUGUAGUGUAAUGGUUAGCACCCAAGAUUCUGAUUCUUGUAAUCCCGGUUCGACUCCGGGCAGGACCU
This 72-nucleotide transfer RNA is filed under the name Morchella angusticeps. RNAcentral's name for it is "tRNA-Gln". It matches the Rfam family "tRNA". Rfam says of the family: Transfer RNA (tRNA) molecules are approximately 80 nucleotides in length. Their secondary structure includes four short double-helical elements and three loops (D, anti-codon, and T loops). Further hydrogen bonds mediate the characteristic L-shaped molecular structure. tRNAs have two regions of fundamental functional importance: the anti-codon, which is responsible for specific mRNA codon recognition, and the 3' end, to which the tRNAs corresponding amino acid is attached (by aminoacyl-tRNA synthetases). tRNAs cope with the degeneracy of the genetic code in two manners: having more than one tRNA (with a specific anti-codon) for a particular amino acid; and 'wobble' base-pairing, i.e. permitting non-standard base-pairing at the 3rd anti-codon position. Lineage: Eukaryota; Fungi; Ascomycota; Pezizomycetes; Pezizales; Morchellaceae. The record is from RNAcentral. RNAcentral also lists the same sequence under 14 other names.